UACGAAGGGGGCGAGCGUUAUCCGGAAUUACUGGGCGUAAAGCGCGUGCAGGCGGCUGUGCAAGUCGGACGUGAAAGCUCCUGGCUCAACUGGGAGAGGCCGUUCGAAACUGCAUAGCUUGAGGACGGUAGAGGCGAGUGGAAUUCCCGGUGUAGUGGUGAAAUGCGUAGAUAUCGGGAGAAACACCAGAGGCGAAGGCGGCUCGCUGGGCCGUGACCGACGCUGAGACGCGAAAGCCAGGGGAGAGAACGGG
This 253-nucleotide unclassified non-coding RNA is filed under the name uncultured Anaerolineae bacterium. RNAcentral's name for it is "contains 16S-23S intergenic spacer region". It matches the Rfam family "Bacterial small subunit ribosomal RNA", at positions 524 to 776 of the family's 1533-position model. Lineage: Bacteria; Bacillati; Chloroflexota; Anaerolineae. The record is from RNAcentral.